RNAcentral lists this ribosomal RNA (280 nucleotides) under uncultured Ralstonia sp. RNAcentral describes it as "partial 16S ribosomal RNA". It matches the Rfam family "Bacterial small subunit ribosomal RNA", at positions 19 to 301 of the family's 1533-position model. Lineage: Bacteria; Pseudomonadati; Pseudomonadota; Betaproteobacteria; Burkholderiales; Burkholderiaceae. The record is from RNAcentral.
UUGGCUCAGAACGAACGCUGGCGGCAUGCCUUACACAUGCAAGUCGAACGGCAGCGCGGACUUCGGUCUGGCGGCGAGUGGCGAACGGGUGAGUAAUACAUCGGAACGUACCCUGUUGUGGGGGAUAACUAGUCGAAAGAUUAGCUAAUACCGCAUACGACCUGAGGGUGAAAGUGGGGGACCGCAAGGCCUCACGCAGCAGGAGCGGCCGAUGUCUGAUUAGCUAGUUGGUGGGGUAAGAGCCUACCAAGGCGACGAUCAGUAGCUGGUCUGAGAGGAC